GUUACACAGAUGUAUUUCUAUGAUCUCAGUGAUGCUUAUCUAUAAAGUAAUAGAUAACAUUUUUGGACCCCUUGCUAUGGGACAAAUAUUCUAACCAGUGUGUAUGGAUUGAGUAAGGCUUUUUGGGGGUUUUUUUGUUAAAAAAUUUUGGCUUUCAAACUUUUGAAGUAAAUGCAGAUGUAAAAACUUGUGGCACAAAGAGGUGAAGUUAUUUUCACAACGUACAUCAAGUAAGUGGGGGAACAGGAAUAGGAGCCCCAGGCCGGCUGAGUGCCAUUUUGCUGUAGUCCAGACAAGACAAGCAUCUUUGACUAAGCAGAGAGAAUGCAGUUAGUUUAGCACUGUGUAUUCUCUGGGACCCCUAGCUCACCCCCAGCUACCCUAACUCUAACUACUGUGUCUUCAUUGCUGAUUUUCUCCAGAUGUUUCAAACCUAUUAUCUCAAUUGGAUAGGUAUUCUCAGGUGACAUUAUCAUGCACAAAGCCGGGAAAUAUUCCUGAAAAUCAAUGCAAUGAUAAACAAAGACCUAGAAGACAUUGGUGUUCCAGGCUGAGAGAAGUGACACCCUGUGUGCCUUUAACCUUUUGAGCAGACCUUUGAAGGCCCCAGGACGCCUUUAUCAGCUUUGCAGUGCUGCGCCCAGGAGGAGGCACAGAUGGGCAAGUGCUGGAUGGAUGUGAUGCAGAGAAGUCAAAAUCACGGCAAAUACCUCUGUGCCUUCUAUUACUUCCCGAGGGCCCCGAAUGGGUGACUUAACAUUGCUCUGGAGGUCACAAGUCUGAAAUUGAGGAUCCCCAGAGCCGUGAUACCUCAGAAGCCCCUAGAGGAGCAUCCUUCCUUGGUCUUUUAAAAACUUGUUAUAUUUAAUUGGCAAAUAAUAAUUGUAUAUAUUAAUGAGGCACAGUAUGAUGUUUUGGUGUAUGUUCCCAUUGCUGAACGAUUAAAUCAGCUAAUUAACAUAUCUGUCAUCUCAUCUCAUAUUACUUGUUCCACAGCUCCAUACUCCAUUCAUUGGUCAUAGCCACCUUCCUUGACUUUUCUCUCCUUCCUUCCCAUCCAUCACUUGAGUUUGCACAGACAUUCGAGUCACACCAGCACACUCAGCCUUCUCUCUGACACGGCACCGUUGCUGUAUCCCUCCACUCAGUGAUCAUUUCUGGGAAAAGAUUUUCAAAAUGAGCCGUGUUUGUUCACUCUGAAACCACAUUCGUUCUGCUCUCAAAACUCCAGGCGAAACAGGACCUUUGAGAGAAAUUUUUCAUUAGUUUAUCUCUAUGAAUAAAUAUUCCACAGUAUUGUGCAUUACAUCCUCGGGCUGCCUCCUGCCCAUGCAUUUGCCAGGAAAUUCCCACUAAGUUGAUGUCAGAAUGGGAAAUUAGUGACUAAUAAAAUGAAACAGACAAAAGGAGAAUGCUGAGUUAUGGAGGAAAUGGGAAUGAUAUAUGAAUAUCAUUAGCCAUUCCUUGAAGAACAUUAAUGUGAUUACAUGAAUGUGAAAAUGCUGUGCAGUAUGUCAGAAUUUCACUAGUCACCAGAAAGCUCAGAAGCAGAUGGGCUGUGUGACUGAUGAGUCCAUAACUGUGCUCAUUAAAAAUCUUCACACUUUUAAUUUCUUCACGGCCCCACUACAUUUCAUUCUGAGUAGCUGAAGAAUGAAAUGCAUUUGCUAUUAUGGGUAGAUAGACAACAAUGAGUCAGCUUUAACUUCCUGAGGUGGUCCUGUCCUACCUUUGAAUUCCCGAUGGACAGCUCAGAAGUCCCGGAAAACAUAGGAACUGGCCCGGUCUGCCUGGAGUGCAAGCGAUAGAGCAGGAUGAUCUUCCUUGUGUCUUCCUGGUCUCACAGGACAGCCCGGAUCACUCACUGUACACUUGUGUCUUCCCAGGUUGCUGCACCACAAAUCUCAGGUGUGGAAAGUUGAGCUGACAACUUUGGACUUAAGGUUUGAGAGUCUCUUCGCACUAGUUAAAGCCAAGAGUAAGUCAGUGUAUGAAUGAAAGGUAGGCAGCAGGUAAGAGGAGUCAACAGCUGCAGCAGUGAUUCCAGGAUGGGUAAUGGAAGGUGAAGUGAGUUGCAGAGGUUCUAACUAUGCAGCAGCAGCGGACACAGCAUCUGUAGGUGAACGGCAUGGCUCCAGGUCUGAAAGUUCAGCACUGGCUGAGCUGCCUUCAUGAGAGUGAAACUUUCUUUUCCCCUUAUUGCACACAUCCAUCAGUUUCCUUAUUAACUGAGUAAUUGCAUUCAUUCAUCAGUUUAAGAAAGUGAGCAUUAUCCAUUCAUAAGAGAUACAGCUUCUGAUGUAACUAGCUGCGUGUCCUUUACAUUGCUGGGCCUCAUUAUGUUCAGGCCUCGGCCUUAAAACUGUGAUUACAUGGAACAUUGACUGCUCAGCAGAAGGGGCUGCAGACAAAGAAACACUGAUUGCAGUACUAGUCCUCCUCAGAAGCCCAUAGUCUCACUGUGGAGAUAAAGGCAAACCGCAUACAGAGAAAAAUAACAUCGUAGAUAGAAACUAGUUGAACCCCUUCAGCCAAAGGUACAGCAAUGAGUGUCAGGAUUAAUGGGAAAAGUGCGAAAGCAGUUGGGGUCAGGGAGGUGUCACAGUGAUGUUUGAAGUAGAGAUGGAAAUUUGAGGGGCAGAAAAGAGAAAGACUGAAGGGUCUAGGGAAAAAUUAUUUCAACAACUAUUCAAGGAUUAGAGCUUAACAUCUUAAAAUAGAUGAGUGGUUUUUGCAAAGGUUCCAUGAGGCCAAAAGAAUUUAUUAGCAGUGCCAAGCUCUUGAUGUUAGGGGGAACAUGAAACAUCUUCCUUGACUUCCCCAAGAAUUCUGCUCAUAAUCGAAUGGCAUUGCAUUCACAAGAAGGAAUAUUUCAAGUGCCACGUAAAAGAGGGCUGUGUCAGCAUGAAGUAUAAUUGGGAGCUCUCAAGAGAGGAGUUUCAUAAGGUUAGUGGAUGUAUAGGACUUUUAAGCAGGGAGAAGCCUUCAGCAUGGAUCAGAAGAGGCAGACUCAAGGCAGGGAGUUUGCCUCUCGAAGCCAGGUAUGAUAAGGACCUAACCGGAGCAAAGCAGAGAGGGCCAGAAGGAAGGGAUGUGUUUCAUUCUGCAAGGACUCAUGUCUGCGUACAGCGUUCACUGACCUUUUAGGACAAGAAUCACUUUUGUAGUCAUGUGCUGCUAAAUUAUAAGGACAUGGUUGUGUUUUCCUUUUUAGAGCUUUGUAUCUCUUCUCACAGCAUGGUGGUUGCCCCAGAGGAAGUAUUCAAAACACUUGAAUAAAUGAAUGCACAUAAAAUACCCUGAAGAAAGGAGAAACAAAAUUCAGCCUUGCCAGGAGCAGUUUCCUUUCGUCAGACCCUCCUGCGUGCCCCUGCUGCAGCUGGCCGGCCACACAAGGACUGAGAUGCAAGCGCACAUAUCCCUCUCCCCAUGGGCCUUCAAUACAAAGACAAGCGUCCUCAUCAUUUGCACACAGACUCAGAGAGAAGAGGCGAUGUCUGUGUGAAGACAGAGACUAGAGGGAUGGAUCUCAGAGAACGGAGGCAGCAGUGGAAGCCGGAAGAGGCAAAGGGAAGACGUUUCCCUAGGACGUCCAGACGCAGUGCGUGAUUUCAGACUUCCGGACUGCAGAACCCUGAGAGGAUAAAUUUCUGUUGUUUUAAGUUUCAGGUUUGUGGUAAUUUGUUGCAGCGAGCCCAGGAAACAAAUGCACACAUUUACUAUUCAUCGGUAAAUACUAAUAUGAGGCCAAGAGCCCCACAUCCUUAUUUAUGGCACCACAUUCCAAGCCUUCUUGUAUAAAAACAGAAUGAUGGCAGGAAGCAUUCCAGUGGGAAAUAAGGGGAGAGGCUACUGUAACAACAAAAAUAACGCGUGUGAUACUGGCUUUAACUGUGAGGGAGUAACUGUGAGACACACCGGGCGAAGAAGAGGAUGGGUACAGAAGAAGAAGAAAAAGAGGGGUAAAACAGAACACAAAGUACAGAGAAAGAAAAGCAAUGCCGCCUUCUCCCCACUCCGGGCUCCCCCUGCCCUUUAGGGCUCUUCACUGGUGACCACUCAAGGGGAAGUGGAAGGAGAUGGGAAGAGACCUGUUAAGAAAGAGGAGCCACCGAUAUUUCAAACUUGGGCUCAGGACAGGGCAGAGCUGCUUUGUCAUCCGUCUUCCCAGGGUGGAGAGACUGAGAUAUUGGGGCUCCUGUCGUCAUUGGAACCAAGGAGAGCUGGCUCUCACUGUUCAGUCCACCAGAUUGCACCGUUCCUGCCUCAUAUCUGACAUAUAUCACCCUUUCUCCUUUCUUUUGCUCAGCUGCCGAUUGGAAAGCUAAGAGAAAUAUUAGGUAGACUAUGACACCACCGUAAUCACAGCACUCAUAAUCUCUGCUGUAACAACAUUUUUCUGCAUGCAUUUGUGACUUGUCACUUCUACAGAGCAUUUAUUUAGUAGUAAAUUUAUUUUCUACUCAUCAG
Molecule: long non-coding RNA, 4470 nt
Organism: Fukomys damarensis (Damara mole-rat)
Lineage: Eukaryota; Metazoa; Chordata; Mammalia; Rodentia; Bathyergidae
Exons: 3
Source: RefSeq, a predicted model, not a curated record